This 254-nucleotide ribosomal RNA is filed under the name uncultured bacterium. RNAcentral's name for it is "partial 16S ribosomal RNA". It matches the Rfam family "Bacterial small subunit ribosomal RNA", at positions 524 to 776 of the family's 1533-position model. The record is from RNAcentral.
UACGGAGGGGGCUAGCGUUGUUCGGAGUUACUGGGCGUAAAGGGUGUGUAGGCGGUUGUUUAAGUUUGGUGUGAAAUCUCCCGGCUCAACUGGGAGGGUGCGCCGAAUACUGAAUGACUUCGAGUGCGGGAGAGGAGAGUGGAAUUCCUGGUGUAGCGGUGAAAUUCGUAGAUAUUCGGAAGAACACCAGUGGCGAAGGCGACUCACUGGACACAUAUUGACGCUGAGGUGCGAAAGCGUGGGGAGCAAACAGG